Molecule: small nuclear RNA, 106 nt
Organism: Loxodonta africana (African savanna elephant)
Lineage: Eukaryota; Metazoa; Chordata; Mammalia; Proboscidea; Elephantidae
Source: Ensembl
GUGCUCGCCUCGGCGGCGCGUAGGCUAAAAUUGUGAAUGAUACACAGGAGAUAAGUAUAGCCCCUGCACAAGAAGAACACAAAUUCGUGAAGUGUUCCAUAUUAAA